AGAUGCCUCUCUUGGUUCCCACUGCCCUGCUGGUCUUGGGGCAGAUUGAGGGGGGAGUCACAGGCCAUCCCUGCAAGGAAAAGCAGAGAGGGCAAUUUGGGAAGGUGACAGAGGACCCUGUGGGACGCCGAGUCACAGCCUUGCUGGGCACAAUGACUGGCGUGCAUAGUGAGCUGCUUUCGGAAGCACUGCCACCCCUGGCUCUCAGAUAUGCUGCUGAAAGGGGUGACAGGCAGUGGGGGGCUUGGGACUCCGCCAAGGUGUCCUAGCUCCCAUCCCCAUCCCCAGGCCCAGGCCCAGGCCCCUCCAGCAGGAAAGGCUAGGGACCACACUGCCAUGGGGUUUGCCAGGCCCUUGUCUUUUGGGAAGCCGCCCCUCCCAGGGAAAGGCAGGGCCGGGGGCUGUUCAGGCUCUGCCACCACCUGCUCUGUGACUUCGGGCAGGCCACCAAUUCCUCUGAAAAAUGGGAGUCUUUGUGGGCACCAUCACGCCCGGGUACAGGACACCCAGUGGCUCAGCUGCCCCAGCCAGGCUGCCCUUUCCUGACCUCAGCACACCUCCCACAGCCACUGCAGGCAGCCCUGGACCUUCUCCGGCUGAGGCCUUACUGCCAAUCCCUCUGGGAGACCAGACACAACAGGCAUCGGUCUGGGUGACUCCCAGGAGCCCAGGCCUCUAUCCUGUCCUCCCUAGUGGCUGAGGCAGUGGGCUGGGCAGCAGGGACUCAGUGCCCUGGGAGGCAGGCUCAUCCCACAAGUUGCCAUGGUAGCCCCUCCUCCUGCCCCUUACUCAUUAGCCAGGCUGUACUGACACGGGCUGCCCAGGCAGGGGGUGGCUCGCUGGACAAAGCUGGCCAUGCAGGCGCUCAGGCGUGCAGGGUAGCCAGCGCCCCGGCCAGGAAUGGACAGCCUCCAGGACACAGUGCCCCUGGACCACGGGGGCUGCUGCCCUGCCCUCAGCAGGCUGGUUCCCAGAGGCUUUGGGACUGAGAUGUGGACUCUCUUUGCCCUUUCUGGACCCCUGUUCCUGUUCCAGGUGCUGACUUUUAUGAUCUACAUCGUGAGCACUGUGUUCUGCGGGCACCUGGGCAAGGUGGAGCUGGCAUCGGUGACCCUCGCAGUGGCCUUUGUCAAUGUCUGCGGAGUUUCUGUAGGAGUUGGUUUGUCUUCAGCAUGUGACACCUUGAUGUCUCAGAGCUUCGGCAGCCCCAACAAGAAGCACGUGGGCGUGAUCCUGCAGCGGGGCGCGCUGGUCCUGCUCCUCUGCUGCCUCCCUUGCUGGGCGCUCUUCCUCAACACCCAGCACAUCCUGCUGCUCUUCCGGCAGGACCCGGAAGUGUCCAGGUUGACUCAGGACUAUGUAAUGAUUUUCAUUCCAGGACUUCCGGUGAUUUUUCUUUACAAUCUGCUGGCAAAAUAUUUGCAAAAUCAGGUACAGGUCUUUGGUGUGGGGGGAGGCCCUUCUCCCAGCACACUGCCCUAUUCCAGUGGGAGAGGGGCCUGGGGCUUUCCCCUUCUCUCCACCAUCUGUGAACCAGCUCUUGAAAGGGGUCACUUCCAACCCACCUGCCACGUCCUGACCUCCCGCACAGAGGCAGGUGACAGGCUGUGUGUCUCAGCCUCUUCCAACUCCUGAACAGGGAUGGCUGAAGGGGCAGGAGGAGGAGUCCCCAUUCCAAACCCUGGGUUUGUCCACCCUCCAUCCAUCUCACUCACACCUUAGCAGGGCCAGUUUUCAUUUAUUUCAGAAGAUCACCUGGCCCCAAGUCCUCAGUGGUGUGGUGGGCAACUGUGUCAACGGUGUGGCCAACUAUGCCCUGGUUUCUGUGCUGAACCUGGGGGUCAGGGGCUCCGCCUAUGCCAACAUCAUCUCCCAGUUUGCACAGACCGUCUUCCUCCUUCUCUACAUUGUGCUGAAGAAGCUGCACCUGGAGACGUGGGCAGGUUGGUCCAGCCAGUGCCUGCAGGACUGGGGCCCCUUCUUCUCCCUGGCUGUCCCCAGCAUGCUCAUGAUCUGCGUUGAGUGGUGGGCCUAUGAGAUUGGGAGCUUCCUCAUGGGGCUCCUCAGCGUGGUGGAUCUCUCCGCCCAGGCUGUCAUCUAUGAGGUGGCCACCGUGACCUACAUGGUAAGGCUCCUGCAGGGGUGCCUUCCCCACAUCCCCCACCUGAUGGCUGGAGGUGUCAUAGGAGGGGGGCAGGCUGUCACCUGAAGCUGUCUCUGUCUCCCGAGGGACCCCCCCCGGGCCUCUCGUGCCCACCAGGUCCAGACCUUGCUCAGCUUAUGCCAGGGCUCACACACAGGUGCCCAAAACCUGACCACCAAGGGUGAUAUUUCACUCACAGAUGUUGGAAUUUUAAAAAUUAAUUAGUAUUAUUUUAAAAUUGGGAGAUUUCACAUCACAAUCUUAUUUUUGGAUUUUCUUUAAAAAUGCACAUUCCAGGCUGGGCACGGUGGCUCACGCGUGUAAUCCCAGUACUUUGGGAGGCUGAGGCGGGCGGAUCACAAGGCCAGGAGUUCAAGACCAACCUGGCCAAUAUGCUGAAACCCCAUCUC
RNAcentral lists this small RNA (2553 nucleotides) under Pongo abelii (Sumatran orangutan). RNAcentral's name for it is "retained intron". The record is from RNAcentral. Lineage: Eukaryota; Metazoa; Chordata; Mammalia; Primates; Hominidae.